UACGAAGGGGGCUAGCGUUGCUCGGAAUCACUGGGCGUAAAGCGCACGUAGGCGGAUUGUUAAGUCAGGGGUGAAAUCCUGGAGCUCAACUCCAGAACUGCCUUUGAUACUGAAGAUCUUGAGUCCGGGAGAGGUGAGUGGAACUGCGAGUGUAGAGGUGAAAUUCGUAGAUAUUCGCAAGAACACCCGUGGCGAAGGCGGCUCUCUGGGACGGUACUGACGCUGAGACGCGAAAGCGUGGGGAGCGAACAGG
RNAcentral lists this ribosomal RNA (253 nucleotides) under uncultured bacterium. RNAcentral's name for it is "partial 16S ribosomal RNA". It matches the Rfam family "Bacterial small subunit ribosomal RNA", at positions 524 to 776 of the family's 1533-position model. The record is from RNAcentral.